RNAcentral lists this non-coding RNA (30 nucleotides) under Cricetulus griseus (Chinese hamster). The record is from RNAcentral. Lineage: Eukaryota; Metazoa; Chordata; Mammalia; Rodentia; Cricetidae.
UAAAUGGCUCUGGCAUCUUUCAAAUUACAG